GAUGAACGCUGGCGGCGUGCUUAACACAUGCAAGUCGAACGGUGAAGGCGGAGCUUGCUCUGCUGGAUCAGUGGCAAACGGGUGAGUAACACGUGAGCAAUCUGCCCCUGACUCUGGGAUAAGCGCUGGAAACGGCGUCUAAUACUGGAUACGAGCUGCGAAGGCAUCUUCAGCAGCUGGAAAGAACUUCGGUCAGGGAUGAGCUCGCGGCCUAUCAGCUUGUUGGUGAGGUAACGGCUCACCAAGGCGUCGACGGGUAGCCGGCCUGAGAGGGUGACCGGCCACACUGGGACUGAGACACGGCCCAGACUCCUACGGGAGGCAGCAGUGGGGAAUAUUGCACAAUGGGCGAAAGCCUGAUGCAGCAACGCCGCGUGAGGGACGACGGCCUUCGGGUUGUAAACCUCUUUUAGCAGGGAAGAAGCGAAAGUGACGGUACCUGCAGAAAAAGCGCCGGCUAACUACGUG
RNAcentral lists this ribosomal RNA (468 nucleotides) under uncultured bacterium. RNAcentral's name for it is "partial 16S ribosomal RNA". It matches the Rfam family "Bacterial small subunit ribosomal RNA", at positions 28 to 507 of the family's 1533-position model. The record is from RNAcentral.